CGCCCUUUGAAAAGUGGUUUUAUCUAAGAAAUAAAGGGUACUGCCUGCCCAGUGACGUAUAAGUUAAACGGCCGCGGUAUUUUGACCGUGCAAAGGUAGCAUAAUCAUUUGCCUUUUAAAUGGAGGCUGGAAUGAAUGGCAAGACGGAAAUUUGACUGUCUCUUUCUUAAAUACCCUGAAAUUAAUAUUCUAGUGAAGAAGCUGGAAUGAAAUCGUGGGACGAGAAGACCCUGUUGAGCUUUAGCAGAUUGAGUAGUCAUAAGUUUUUUGUUUAGGGCUAAUAAUAGAGUGUUAAAAUUUUAAGUUUUAAAGUUUACCUUUAGUAGAGAAAAUGUAGUAUUCUGUUCUGUUUUGGUUGGGGCAACUGCGGAGAACAAUAAACCUCCGUUUCAAUAGUAUAAAAGUACAGUUUUAACUAGAAAUUGUUUUGUCUAAAUGACCCACUGUAUUAUAUAGUGAUCAAAGGAAUAAGUUACCACAGGGAUAACAGCGUAAUUUUUUUGGAGAGUUCAUAUUGAUAAAAAAGUUUGCGACCUCGAUGUUGGAUCGAGACUUCCUGGAGGUGCAGCAGCUUCCGAGGGUUGGUCUGUUCGACCAUUAAAGUCUU
This 607-nucleotide ribosomal RNA is filed under the name Asteroidea sp. RCMBAR2351. Its description in RNAcentral is "partial 16S ribosomal RNA". It matches the Rfam family "Bacterial large subunit ribosomal RNA", at positions 1816 to 2597 of the family's 2925-position model. Lineage: Eukaryota; Metazoa; Echinodermata; Asteroidea. The record is from RNAcentral.